CAUUUUAUUGGUAAUUACAGAGUUACUUUAUUUGCAUAUUACAGAGCUGCUAGUGGCCCUAGUGAAAAUGCUUAAUGUCGCUGAGCAUCUUGGAAGGAAUUACUCAACCCAGGGAGGGAGAAUUCAGUAAUUAUUUCCUUAAAACUAGAAUUUGCUAAUAACUUUGCAGUAGAUCACUUUGUGCUCCCCAAUACAGCAAUUAAAUAAUAGCAAUUAAGUGCCAAAGUAACUCAGGCAUAGGGCCUAUCCCCAAAUAGGACCUCUGCUUUAUUUCCUUUGAAAGAGGAAUAAAGCUACAGUUGGCCCUUUUGACUCCUGAACCACCAGGGAACACCGAUUCCUCUUAGAGCCAGUUAGAGAAGGCUGGUGCUAAAUGUCAUCUCCUCAUCUUCAGAGCAGGAUCUGGAAACCCAGAGAGACGCCUAGGGUCCAUCCUGCAGCGAGGAAAGGCCGGCUCUCCAGAGCAGGAUCUGGAAACCCAGAGAGAGGCCUAGGGUCCAUCCUGCAGCGAGGAAAGGCCGGCUCUCCAGAGCAGGAUCUGGAAACCCAGAGAGACGCCUAGGGUCCAUCCUGCAGCGAGGAAAGGCCGGCUCUCCAGAGCAGGAUCUGGAAACCCAGAGAGACGCCUAGGGUCCAUCCUGCAGCGAGGAAAGGCCGGCUCUCCAGAGCAGGAUCUGGAAACCCAGAGAGACGCCUAGGGUCCAUCCUGCAGCGAGGAAAGGCCGGCUCUUCAGAGCAGGAUCUGGAAACCCAGAGAGAGGCCUAGGGUCCAUCCUGCAGCGAGGAAAGGCCGGCUCUCCACUCUAGCAGCUGGGAUGGCAGGCACAGAGGUCAGGUAAGAGGAUUCUGGCAUCAAGCUGGCUGGGCUUGUUGGCUGGGUCCGGCUUAUCAUCCAGGUGUCUUGGACAGGUUACUCAACCUCUCUAGGUCUCAGUUUUCUCAUCAGUAAAGUGGGGGGUCAGCAUGUGAUCGACUGCACCUGGUGCCACUUGGGGUUUGAUCUGCCCAGGAUCAAAUCCUGGCUCCACAUGCACACACCCAGAGGUAGUGUGACAUUGGGCCACUCAUACGCUCUCUGAGAGCACCAGUUUCUCACAGGGGCCCCUGAUCCUUCUGCAGUCCUUGAUCCUUCUGUGAUAGGGCUGAGUCCACUCUCUAUUUUAUCUUUCUGCAAGAUCUGCUCCAGUGUGGUAUUCUAUUUAAUAAUGUAAAAUGCUAUUUCAUGGAGGAGAGAGUACGGAAAGGUAUCUUUUAAAAGAUUUGCUUUCCCACCUCCAUGGCCGGCCUGACCCCUGCCUCCAGGUAGGUUUGUGAGGAAUAUGCAGUGGCCCUCUGAGAAGGAAUAUCCAAUGAGAUAGAAGAGGUCCAGCCCUCAGUACAGGACUUGGCAUCGAGCUCCGUAAUGGCUAGUCCCCAUGUGCAGCUUGGCCUUGCCUGGUAUUAUACCUAGGAAGUUUUUCUCUGUAGCUUAAGGCAUUGGUCCAGAGUCAUAUUUCUUCCCAGCCUCGAUGCUGAUCUCACUGUUAUUGAUCAUUUACAUUUUGGCAUGGCCUUUUCUG
RNAcentral lists this long non-coding RNA (1559 nucleotides) under Homo sapiens (human). RNAcentral describes it as "HSALNT0222185". Lineage: Eukaryota; Metazoa; Chordata; Mammalia; Primates; Hominidae. The record is from RNAcentral.